GGGAGCGGCGGACGGGUGAGUAACGCGUGGGUAACCUGCCCUGUACACACGGAUAACAUACCGAAAGGUAUGCUAAUACGGGAUAACAUAAGAAAGUCGCAUGGCUUUCUUAUCAAAGCUUUUGCGGUACAGGAUGGACCCGCGUCUGAUUAGCUAGUUGGUAAGGUAACGGCUUACCAAGGCGACGAUCAGUAGCCGACCUGAGAGGGUGAUCGGCCACAUUGGAACUGAGACACGGUCCAAACUCCUACGGGAGGCAGCAGUGGGGAAUAUUGCACAAUGGGCGAAAGCCUGAUGCAGCAACGCCGCGUGAGCGAUGAAGGCCUUCGGGUCGUAAAGCUCUGUCCUCAAGGAAGAUAAUGACGGUACUUGAGGAGGAAGCCCCGGCUAACUACGUGCCAGCAGCCGCGGUAAUACGUAGGGGGCUAGCGUUAUCCGGAAUUACUGGGCGUAAAGGGUGCGUAGGCGGUCUUUCAAGUCAGAAGUGAAAGGCUACGGCUCAACCGUAGUAAGCUUUUGAAACUGUAAGACUUGAGUGCAGGAGAGGAGAGUGGAAUUCCUAGUGUAGCGGUGAAAUGCGUAGAUAUUAGGAGGAACACCAGUUGCGAAGGCGGCUCUCUGGACUGUAACUGACGCUGAGGCACGAAAGCGUGGGGAGCAAA
RNAcentral lists this ribosomal RNA (662 nucleotides) under uncultured Clostridium sp. Its description in RNAcentral is "bacterial SSU rRNA". It matches the Rfam family "Bacterial small subunit ribosomal RNA", at positions 91 to 772 of the family's 1533-position model. The record is from RNAcentral. Lineage: Bacteria; Bacillati; Bacillota; Clostridia; Eubacteriales; Clostridiaceae.